UGAAAGAACAUAUCUGGGAUGAUAUGAUGC
This 30-nucleotide non-coding RNA is filed under the name Homo sapiens (human). The record is from RNAcentral. Lineage: Eukaryota; Metazoa; Chordata; Mammalia; Primates; Hominidae.